Molecule: ribosomal RNA, 460 nt
Filed under: uncultured bacterium
Lineage: Bacteria
Description: partial 16S ribosomal RNA
Rfam family: Bacterial small subunit ribosomal RNA
Source: RNAcentral
CCUACGGGAGGCAGCAGUGAGGAAUAUUGGUCAAUGGACGAGAGUCUGAACCAGCCAAGUAGCGUGAAGGAUGACUGCCCUAUGGGUUGUAAACUUCUUUUAUAUGGGAAUAAAAUGUUCCACGUGUGGCAUUUUGUAUGUACCAUAUGAAUAAGGAUCGGCUAACUCCGUGCCAGCAGCCGCGGUAAUACGGAGGAUCCGAGCGUUAUCCGGAUUUAUUGGGGUUAAAGGGGGCGUAGGUGGAUUGUUAAGUCAGUGGUGAAAUGUUGCGGCUCAACCGUAAAAUUGCAGUUGAAACUGGCAGUCUUGAGUACAGUAGAGGUAGGCGGAAUUCGUGGUGUAGCGGUGAAAGGCUGAGAUAUCACGAAGAACGCCGAGUGCGAAGGCAGUUCACUGGACUGCAACUGACACUGAGGCACGAAAGUGUGGGUAUCAAACAGGAUGAGAUACCCUGGUAGUA